UUUGGUAAGUUACUAAGGGCAAACGGCGGAUGCCUUGGCACAAGUAGGCGAUGAAAGACGUGGUAAGCUGCGAAAAGUUACGGUUAGGAGCACACAUCCUUAGACCCGUAAAUCUCUGAAUGGGGCAACCCAAUAGGUGUAAUGACCUAUUACCUUUGUAUAAGGAGUCAACCCGGAGAACUGAAACAUCUAAGUAUCCGGAGGAAUAGAAAGUAAAAACGAUUCCCUAAGUAGCGGCGAGCGAACCGGGAAGAGCCUAAAAUCAAUGGAUGUCAAAAGUGCAGUUCUUGUCCAUUGGUGGUAGUGGGAUUAUUGUUGAUAUCUCUGCAUGGAUAUCGGAGAGUUACAAAAUGAUUUGAUAGUGGAACAAUCUGGAAAGUUUGGCCAUAGUGGGUGAUAGCCCUUUACACGAAAUCACUUCAUCUCUCUUCAAUAACACCCGAGUAAGGCGGGACACGAGGAACCCUGUCUGAAUCCGGCUGGACCAUCAGCUAAGGCUAAAUACUCACUUGUGACCGAUAGCGUAUAGUACCGUGAGGGAAAGGUGAAAAGUACCCCUGUAGGGGAGUGAAAUAGAACCUGAAACCGUUUGUCUACAAGCAGUUGGAGCUUCUUAAUGAAGCGACAGCGUGCCUUUUGCAUAAUGAGCCAGCGAGUUACCGUAAGUUGCAAGGUUAAGUGCGUAUCGCAUGUAACCGAAGCGAAAGCGAGUGUUAAUAGCGCGUCUAGUAACUUGUGGUAGACCCGAAACCUGAUGAGCUACCCAUGUCCAGGUUGAAGUUGCAGUAAAAUGUAAUGGAGGACCGAACCAGGUGAAGUUAAAAAUUCAUUGGAUGAGGUGUGGGUAGGGGUGAAAGGCCAAUCAAAUCAGGAGAUAGCUGGUUCUCCCCGAAAUAGCUUUAGGGCUAGCCUCAAUUAUGUAUCUAGGAGGUAGAGCACUGUCAAGACGCGGGCGGCUACCACCGUACCAACUCUUAGCAAACUUCGAAUGCCUACGAUAUAGAGAUUGGGAGUCAGGGAGCGGGCGACAAGGUCCGUUUCCGAGAGGGAAACAACCCGGACUAGCAGCUAAGGUCCCAAAGUGUAAUCUAAGUGAAUAAGGAUGUCAAAUUGCAUAAACAACCAGGAUGUUGGCUUAGAAGCAGCCACCAUUUAAAGAGUGCGUAAUAGCUCACUGGUCUAGUGGUUUUGCGCCGAUAAUUUCCGGGACUAAGAUUACCACCGAAGCUCUAGACUCUACGGAUUGGUAGGGGAGCGUUCUGUAAGCCGUUGAAGGUGCAUGGUGAUGUGCAUUGGAGGUAUCAGAAAUGAGGAUGCUGGCAUGAGUAACGAGAGGGGAGUAAAAAACUCCCCCACCGAAAAUCUAAGGUUUCCUGAGUAAAGCUAAUCUUCUCAGGGUUAGUCGAUCCCUAAGGCAAGGCCGCGAGGCGUAGUUAAUGGGUAACAGGUUAAUAUUCCUGUACUAACAUUAGAUCGUUUUAAGGUAAAGGAGAGACACAGGAGUGAACACAGAUCCGGUUAUUGGAUUCCGGUUUAAGGACGUAGUGAGGGAUGGCAGGCAAAUCCACCGUUCCAAUCAUAAAAUCCGAGUACGAGCCUUUAAGGCGAAGUCUGUCUAAUCAUACUGUCGAGAAAAUCUUCGUUACUAGAGUUAAUGUUAAUCGUACCGCAAACCGACACAGGUAGAUGGGAUGAGUAUUCUAAGGUGCUCGAGAGAACUACUGCUAAGGAACUCGGCAAAAUGAACCCGUAACUUCGGGAUAAGGGUUGCCUGUCUUUAUGGCAGGUCGCAGAGAAAUGGCGUAUGCGACUGUUUAUCAAAAACACAGGACUAUGCGAACUCGUAAGAGGCAGUAUAUGGUCUGACACCUGCCCGGUGCUGGAAGGUUAAGGGGAUCAGUUAGGUUUUUAAUCGAAGCUGUGAUCCGAAGCCCCAGUAAACGGCGGCCGUAACUAUAACGGUCCUAAGGUAGCGAAAUUCCUUGUCGGGUAAGUUCCGACCCGCACGAAUGGUGUAACGAUGUACGCGCUGUCUCAGCAGUAGACUCGGUGAAAUUGAAUUAUCGGUGAAGAUGCCGAUUACCCGCGACUGGACGGAAAGACCCCGUGAACCUUUACUGCAGCUUGACAUUGUGUUUUGUUAUUACAUGUGUAGGAUAGGUGGGAGACAAUGAAGCGGGCACGCUAGUGUUCGUGGAGUCAACCUUGAAAUACCACCCUUGUACUAAUGGAAUUCUAACCGCGGUCAUUGAAUCAUGAUCCGGGACAUUGUCUGGUGGGUAGUUUGACUGGGGCGGUCGCCUCCCAAAUAGUAACGGAGGCGCGCAAAGGUAACCUCAGCAUGGUCGGUAAUCAUGCGAAGAGUGUAAAGGCAUAAGGUUGCCUAACUGUGAGACAUACAGGUCGAACAGGUACGAAAGUAGGUCUUAGUGAUCCGGUGGUUUAGUAUGGAAUUGCCAUCGCUCAACGGAUAAAAGGUACUCCGGGGAUAACAGGCUUAUCUCCCCCAAGAGUUCACAUCGACGGGGAGGUUUGGCACCUCGAUGUCGGCUCAUCACAUCCUGGGGCUGAAGAAGGUCCCAAGGGUUUGGCUGUUCGCCAAUUAAAGUGGUACGCGAGCUGGGUUCAAAACGUCGUGAGACAGUUUGGUCCCUAUCCGUCGCGGGCGUAUGAUAUUUGAGGAAAUCUGACUCUAGUACGAGAGGACCGAGUUGGGUGAAUCACUGGUGCACCUGUUGUCACGCCAGUGGCACAGCAGGGUAGCUACAUUCAUUCGGGAUAAGCACUGAAUGCAUCUAAGUGCGAAACCCCUUCCAAGAUAAGAUAUCACUUCAGACCCCUUGUAGAUUACAAGGUUGAUAGGUAUCAGGUGUAAGUGCAGUAAUGUAUUUAGCCGAGAUAUACUAAUCGGUCGUGCGACUUACCUUUAGUUUUAU
This 2936-nucleotide ribosomal RNA is filed under the name Candidatus Delongbacteria bacterium. RNAcentral's name for it is "bacterial LSU rRNA". It matches the Rfam family "Bacterial large subunit ribosomal RNA". Lineage: Bacteria; Candidatus Delongiibacteriota. The record is from RNAcentral.